GAUCUUUCCGCAAAAAAAAAAUAACAGUGAGGAACCAAUAAAAAAGGAGAAGAGAUACGACUAUCAUAAAUAUUACAUCUGCUUUCUAAAUCAAUCGUGUUGAGCUUCUCUUAAAAACUAGCUUUACCAUAUCUCUAAAUCUGAUGUCGAGAUAUCGAUGACAAGUGGACAUGUCGCGACGCGAUACAAGGUUCGAUUUCGCGCUGGUCAUUCAUGACUCCACGUGAAAUUAAGAUCGAUUUCACAUCUAACGAGCGUCGGCCUGUGGCCUGGGUGUCGCGAAACAAAUAAGAAGGGCGGGGAAAGAUGAGAUUGAGCCGGUUGGUCGUUCAACCGAGCCAGUUACAACAGACGGCGCCCAUGAUCUGGUCAGUUUGGCGAAGAACGUGAGAGUAAGCCGCUCCUGGAGCGAAAAGAGGAACAGAGAGGGCUGAAUGAAGAAGGAGUAAAAAAAAUAUUGUGACGACGUAGUGAGACACGUGUGCAAGACAAGAACGAAGACAGGAUUGGAAGAGAGGAAGAAAAAAAAAACGUUAUGACGGUAAAGAGGUUAAGGUGUGAAAGAGAUGAGAAUAUAUGUGAUUGAAAAAGGCGAACAAGUGGAAGAGGAACGGGGAUAGUAUGACUUGUUGGGAAACAACUAAAGAGGGAGGAAGCGAAUAUGUAUGUGAGUACGUGGGAUGGAUAAUACUUCCUUGGCGCGUGUAAUGUACUCGUCCGACGGCGCCGGCGCCUGCAUAUAUUGCUCUUUCUAUCUUUUUCUCUGUCUCGAGUAUGUUUACGUGACGUGACACAGAUUCCACAGAGACGCCUCCUGAAAAAUCUACUAUAUGAUUAUGUCUGGUGUGUGCAAAAAUUUUUGGGACGUGUCUAGAACGAGGUUAUAGUUGUUAUGACGUAUGACAUUGCGCGGCUCUUCUAAAUGUUCUCGGUUUGGAAACAAACAAAUAUUAUUAAUCAUCGAUUUUCAAAUGAAAGAUUAUCAUUAUGAUACAAAAGUACUUGAUAUACAUAUUUGAAUCAUUUAGUCAAAUUACAUAAUAAAAGACGAGAAUGAUAAAUUUCCAUAUUAUCAUUCAAUAUAUAAUUUUCCUAUCGAUAUUAAUUGACUAUUAAAAUAUUUUUAUAGUGAAUCAAGUUACAUUAUUGCCAUUGGUAUUUAUCAGCUAUACUAUUAACUGAAUAAACGAAUGAUCAAAAAAGAAUAAAGGAUAGAGAGAAUAAAGAAAUAUUUUCAAAAAUCGACAUGUAAACGCAUUGUGCCUUGGCCAAGACAGGUGUCUCGAUCGCGGCGCCGGAAGAUCAUAAACUGUUUUUCAGAAAAGAUCUCUACCAAAAUCCCAAUACCGAAUG
Molecule: long non-coding RNA, 1353 nt
Filed under: Apis mellifera (honey bee)
Lineage: Eukaryota; Metazoa; Arthropoda; Insecta; Hymenoptera; Apidae
Description: uncharacterized LOC100578657, transcript variant X2
Source: RNAcentral